Molecule: ribosomal RNA, 465 nt
Filed under: uncultured Klebsiella sp.
Lineage: Bacteria; Pseudomonadati; Pseudomonadota; Gammaproteobacteria; Enterobacterales; Enterobacteriaceae
Description: bacterial SSU rRNA
Rfam family: Bacterial small subunit ribosomal RNA
Source: RNAcentral
CCUACGGGGGGCAGCAGUGGGGAAUAUUGCACAAUGGGCGCAAGCCUGAUGCAGCCAUGCCGCGUGUGUGAAGAAGGCCUUCGGGUUGUAAAGCACUUUCAGCGGGGAGGAAGGCGUUAAGGUUAAUAACCUUGUCGAUUGACGUUACCCGCAGAAGAAGCACCGGCUAACUCCGUGCCAGCAGCCGCGGCAAUACGGAGGGUGCAAGCGUUAAUCGGAAUUACUGGGCGUAAAGCGCACGCAGGCGGUCUGUCAAGUCGGAUGUGAAAUCCCCGGGCUCAACCUGGGAACUGCAUUCGAAACUGGCAGGCUAGAGUCUUGUAGAGGGGGGUAGAAUUCCAGGUGUAGCGGUGAAAUGCGUAGGGAUCUGGAGGAAUACCGGUGGCGAAGGCGGCCCCCUGGGCAAAGACUGACGCUCAGGUGCGAAAGCGUGGGGAGCAAACAGGAUUAGAUACCCCAGUAGUC